GACGAACGCUGGCGGCGUGCUUAACACAUGCAAGUCGAACGGAAAGGCCCUGCUUUUGUGGUGUGCUCGAGUGGCGAACGGGUGAGUAACACGUGAGUAACCUGCCCUUGACUUUGGGAUAACUUCAGGUAACUGGGGCUAAUACCGGAUAGGAGCUCCUGCUGCAUGGUGGGGGUUGGAAAGUUUCGGCGGUUGUGGAUGGAUUCGCGGCUUACCAGCUUGUUGGUGGGGUAGUGGCUUGCCAAGGGUUUGAAGGGUAGGCGGCAUGAGAGGGUGAACGGCCACAAUGGGACUGAGAUACGGCGCAGAGUCGUACGGGAGGCAGCAGUGGGGAAUAUUGCACAAUGGGCGGAAGCCUGAUGAAGCAACGCCGCGUGCGGGAUGACGGCCUGCGGGUUGUAAACCGCUUUCGCCUGUGACGAAGCGGGAGUGACGGUAAUGGGUAAAGAAGCACCGGCUAACUACGUG
Molecule: ribosomal RNA, 468 nt
Filed under: uncultured bacterium
Lineage: Bacteria
Description: partial 16S ribosomal RNA
Rfam family: Bacterial small subunit ribosomal RNA
Source: RNAcentral